AAAGUUCUCACAGUUCGUCUGCAGUCUGCACAGUGCAGUGCAAGCAAAAACUGUGCUAAAGACUAAAGUCGUCAUAGGCUCACAGCACAUAUUUAGUUUAGCAGGGCCGCGAGGCUGCCAUCAGCACAUUCUGCACAUAUCAUAUAGCCAUAAGCCCAUAAUGUUAUUUCAUAUUGUUUAUUGUAGUGAUUGGAGUGACUUAGUGAGUAUUUGGCAAAUGAUUCCGUUCAAGCAAAAGUUUUCUUUUUUUUUCUGUUACCGACUAACGUGGUUGAAACAGAGCAGUCAAACAAGGAAAUUUCAAACAGCCCAUGUGCUCAGAUCACAUUGGUGCAAGAAGUGACGCAUGGAAUGUUCAACUUAAUAGGAUUUUUCUCUCCUCAUCUCCUCUAAAAAAAUGAGUGCUACAAGAAUGUUCUCUGUGUGUUAUAUCAUCCACCACUUAGCUCCAAUGCAACAGAAAUAAGUCUAAGCUUUCAAGUACGUUGAAGUUAUCUCUGCGUGUGAAGAAUCCAGUGAUCUAGAAUGAAUGAAUAAAGUGAACUCAAACAUUCAGUGACAGUUACACCAACUUACGUGAACUGCCAGACACAAUGUUGUCCUAAAAUAAGAAGAAUGCCAAUCUUGAGUCUACAUAGGGAUUGGCAUGGAUUACAUGCCCACAUCGUGCAACCAAAUAUCAAUCUUGAAGCCAGUGAGCCGAACGCCAACCUUGGUGUAAAAAAGUGCGGAAUCGACGAACGACAACCCAGUGUUUGCUUGCGUGUUUAAAACUGUUUAAGGUCCAACGCAAAAAAUAGUUGAGAUUGAUAACUUUUUUUUAAAUCCUUUCAUUCAACAUCUUGUACUGCCAGUCUCAACAACACGAACAACAAGAUUAUUGACCACACAAUCAUCGCAAAUGCUGGUUAAUUGCAAAACACAUCCUUGUCGUAACAACUGACAUCCGGGAAGAAAAUACUUUGGUGAUGAGACUCUCGCCAUGGAGGAAGUAAUGCGUGACACCACCUAUGCCUCCAUCAAAUGUACUGUUCAUAUAGUUGUGGGACUUGUGGCCAAUACGGAAUUUUAAAAGCCCCUUUAUGACGAGCUAUACUGAGGUAGGCGACGAUACUCAUUGUUGCCAAACGAGCAUAAGGCAACAACAAUCGUUAUCUGAAACUAGACGAACAAGUUGCUAGUGAGGAAUUUCAAACGAUCAUCAAAGUUGAGAAAGAAGAAGAUGACGACUCCAUGCAAUCAAAACAAAGAAGGAAACAUUAGAGCCAGAAGAUCCAUCUGUUACCGCACACCAACAUCUAACGGAACUUAUUCCACAUGUCCAAAUGGCGCCCAAUUAGUUAACUUCCGAUUCAUAGUUCUGUUGGAAUCACUAUCAAGGAAAAAAGAGGUGUGAAGCUCCUUUACCAACUGACAUCAUAUUCAAGUUGGGCAUGGAAGUGCGGCACAAGACGCAUGCCAACCAGUGAACGAGCAAGUCAAAGGAAAGACACCGCACCGCACAAGUUCUCUACAACGGGUUGCGGCGAGUUUGGGCAACCUUACCGCCAUGCUGCACUCUCAAUCCGACCCGGGUCGCUGUUUCCUCUCGAUCCUGGUUGCUGGCAUCAACCCAGUUGUUUUCUCUACUCUUCUACCAAACGCGCAAAGUACCAGGUAAUAGAGAAACAUUUUUAUUAACAUCAGCAAACAAAAACUUGCCGAAAGGUACGUGGUCAUGGUCUUCCUGUUUUGUAUUUUCCCUGACGAGAAAUCUUUUAGCGAAGUAUACAAGAGACCUUGGUUUUAUUCUAACGGGCUCUGAAGUCGCACUGCCUGAGUAAAAAUACUAUAACUGACGGUAGGUAAUGAAAUAUGUUACUGUUUUACAGCAAAGUGACGACGAUUUGAGUCUUUGGCGUUAGUUCAGUUCUUCCACAGCCUUCGUUUCUUACCUAAUUCUGUGUCGACUGUACUAAACUAUUUUAUUUUAUGUAUUUAAGGUAGAUUGGCUUGAGGUUCAAAUAAUGCACUAAAUGCAACUUACAACACUGACGUUGCCAUCUGCAAUGGGAAUGAUCAGGCUAGAUCCUUUGUUCUGAUGGGGAAAUAAUUGGACAUUAUCACUAAAAAGUGCACCAACAAACUUUGUGAAACGGACAUGAAAUAGUCAGAUUUUUGUAGGUCAUUUGCUAUUUUGAUUUUUGAUUUUGUAUGAAAAAAAAAUCAAUCAACGCCAGGUAGCUAACAAUAUUAUCUUAAGACCAGUCUUUCAAAUACUGAGUUUUGAGACGUGUUAAACAGAUGGCGUGUUGAUUGUGUCAGUUAUGGGCUUCUGGCGAUUUGAUGUCAACAUUUAAGCUAUCCAUUAUUCGAAAAUUAUCAAUGAAUUCAUAGGAAGAAACGUGAAAGCUGGAACCUACCGUCAACUAUUUUGUUCAAAAUCAUUGUAUUCUACUGAAUGUGUCAUCAAAAUGAUAAGUAGAUCACCAACCCCAGCACGGACCAAUCUCUCAUUCCAUCUCCUAUAGAACCUUGGAUAACUGAUCGGUGGUUUCAUGUGUAAGUUCACUUGUCACUGAACUAUGGAAAAUAUUCUGUCCAGGGAAUGACGCCUUAAAAGAAAGAACUGCGGCUGCGAUCUUCAACAAUCUUGCGUAACAAUAUUGCAUGAAUUUUGAUGCUGAAAGACUUUGAAACCAUGCUGUCCAGUGUCCACCACGUCGAGAAGCUGAGUAACAUUCGGCUAACAUUAUGUGUGUACAAUGGGGCCUCUUAAUAAAAGGAACUGAAGCCAUCCAAUCUAGGUCUUCAAUCCAAUCAUGAAGGCUGUAUGGAAGUGGCAUUUACCUUUGCUGUGAACAUCAUGAACACAUACACUUUUUGAAGGUUCAUGUUUACAUAGCAGUGGUGUUGCUGUCCAAUGUGGCGUGUUGUUGCAGCCUAUGAC
RNAcentral lists this long non-coding RNA (2929 nucleotides) under Daphnia pulex (common water flea). RNAcentral's name for it is "uncharacterized LOC124189844, transcript variant X6". Lineage: Eukaryota; Metazoa; Arthropoda; Branchiopoda; Diplostraca; Daphniidae. The record is from RNAcentral.